AGCCCUUGACAUGUCGUGGACCGGUCGCAGAGACGUGACCUUCUCUUCGGAGCCGCGAACACAGGUGCUGCAUGGCUGUCGUCAGCUCGUGUCGUGAGAUGUUGGGUUAAGUCCCGCAACGAGCGCAACCCCCGUCCUUAGUUGCUACCAUUCAGUUGAGCACUCUAGGGAGACUGCCGGUGAUAAGCCGCGAGGAAGGUGGGGAUGACGUCAAGUCCUCAUGGCCCUUACGGG
RNAcentral lists this ribosomal RNA (234 nucleotides) under uncultured bacterium. RNAcentral's name for it is "partial 16S ribosomal RNA". It matches the Rfam family "Bacterial small subunit ribosomal RNA", at positions 977 to 1208 of the family's 1533-position model. The record is from RNAcentral.